This 726-nucleotide ribosomal RNA is filed under the name uncultured bacterium. Its description in RNAcentral is "bacterial SSU rRNA". It matches the Rfam family "Bacterial small subunit ribosomal RNA", at positions 64 to 760 of the family's 1533-position model. The record is from RNAcentral.
GAACGGAGAGAGAUGGAAGCUUGCUUCUAUCGAUCUUAGUGGCGAACGGGUGAGUAACGCGUAACCAACCUGCCCUUCAGAGGGGGAUAACAACGGGAAACCGUUGCUAAUACCGCGUACGAAUGAACUUCGGCAUCGGAGCUCAUUGAAAGGUGGCCUCUAUUUAUAAGCUAUCGCUGAAGGAGGGGGUUGCGUCUGAUUAGCUAGUUGGAGGGGUAACGGCCCACCAAGGCAAUGAUCAGUAGCCGGUCUGAGAGGAUGAACGGCCACAUUGGGACUGAGACACGGCCCAAACUCCUACGGGAGGCAGCAGUGGGGAAUCUUCCGCAAUGGACGAAAGUCUGACGGAGCAACGCCGCGUGAGUGAUGACGGCCUUCGGGUUGUAAAGCUCUGUUAAUCGGGACGAAUGGUCCUUGUGUGAAUAAUGCAAGGAUUUGACGGUACCGGAAUAGAAAGCCACGGCUAACUACGUGCCAGCAGCCGCGGUAAUACGUAGGUGGCAAGCGUUGUCCGGAAUUAUUGGGCGUAAAGCGCGCGCAGGCGGUUUCAUAAGUCUGUCUUAAAAGUGCGGGGCUUAACCCCGUGAGGGGAUGGAAACUAUGGAACUGGAGUAUCGGAGAGGAAAGCGGAAUUCCUAGUGUAGCGGUGAAAUGCGUAGAUAUUAGGAAGAACACCAGUGGCGAAGGCGGCUUUCUGGACGACAACUGACGCUGAGGCGCGAAAGC